Molecule: ribosomal RNA, 301 nt
Filed under: uncultured bacterium
Lineage: Bacteria
Description: partial 16S ribosomal RNA
Rfam family: Bacterial small subunit ribosomal RNA
Source: RNAcentral
CAGUAGCCGCGGUAAUACGAAGGGGGCUAGCGUUGUUCGGAAUUACUGGGCGUAAAGCGCACGUAGGCGGAUUGUUAAGUCGGGGGUGAAAUCCUGAGGCUCAACCUCAGAACUGCCUUCGAUACUGGCGAUCUUGAGUUCGGAAGAGGUUGGUGGAACAGCUAGUGUAGAGGUGAAAUUCGUAGAUAUUAGCUAGAACACCAGUGGCGAAGGCGGCCAACUGGUCCGACACUGACGCUGAGGUGCGAAAGCGUGGGGAGCAGACAGGAUUAGAUACCCCAGUAGUCCCUGUCUCUUAUAC